AAAGAUGGACCAGGGAUAGUGUUUCUAUAUUAGGAUCAUGGAUGGCUUUACUAGGCCAUGCCAAAAAGACACCAGGCCCUGUCUGUGAAGAGCUUCUUCCAGGUUUUCCUUGGCCUCUUCCAGAGUGCAAACUGCUGGCAGAUGUUACCUCUGUUAAGCAUGCUGGAUUUAUUAUCUUAUUUUAGCCUGGCUAAGAGUGCUCAGAUCUUUAUCUUGGAAUGAAAAGCUGCAGGCUGUUGAUCAGAAAUGCACAUGGAACAGCCACGUGGAUAUUCAGAAACACAACUACACAGCACAGCCAGUUUCCUUCAGUACAUGCUCACGGAGCUCGGCUGCCUCCACUUCUCCUCGGGCUGAGGAUUCACCUUCCUUUUGGCACACUGUCACCGGAGUUGUUUCAGGGAUAAUGGGACAUUUUCUUACAUUCUUAUUUCCAGUAGCAUAGAGUUAAAACAGUUUCUUCUAAUUUUAGCUGAGUGUGAACUGAAAAGCAGAAAUUUAUUGCCUGGAGGCCCAUAUCUAUUUGACUGACCUAUGACCCCAUUAGUACAUGCUGCUACUAUACUUUAUGGCAUUCCACACCUGUAUUGUGCUGCUCUUGACAUCAGCAUCACUUAAUAUGAGCAGAGACAUUUGUAUGUUAAUGACCAGAAUAUCUGAAGAAGUUAAGUAGAUGAUUAAAGAUAUUGCUAGUUUUGUUAGCUCUCCAGAGGUUGAGUCCAUGAUAAUUUUUGCUGUUCUUCCAGUGAAAUCUCCUUUAAAAUCUCUUUUUCUCCUAUUAAAUCCAACAGUUGUGGUAUAGGUUUUGUAGACUGAAAAACAAAAAAGUAAUGGAAGAGGGAAUAUCUGUAAAAAUAAAUAUGUUUCUAUCUGAAGCUUUUAUUUUAUUAAUCAUUGGUAGAACUAAUGAUCUUAUUGAAGCAGAAGGAGCAGAAUUCAUUGUAGACAAUUCUUUGACUUGAUUGCUGGAAAUAGAUUCUCUUUCAUUAAAUAAUGGAACACCCUAUUAUUUCUGUAGUAGCUCUUUUAACCAUACUGUCCUUGCAGAGAGUGUUUUGGGGAGCAUAUGGAUAUAAGGAAGGAGCAUAUGAAGGAGUGCAGGAUCUGGCGGAAAUGCAAUUAGUGCCACCACCUUCAGAGAAGCCACUUAAUCAUUUAAAGAGCUGCCAUGCUUCAGGGGAGCAUGGAAAACCCCCUUCUUGACAUGUCCUCAGCCUACCUGACCGUGGCACCAGGAAAAUAGCCUCCAUGGAACAGAACUGCAGCAAUCUUUCCAUUUUCAGUGUUUUCACACUACAGCCAGCCACUGACUGGGAAACACUGGAUUCUCCUCCACUUCUAUCCUCUGGCACAAAAUUUCGUUUCCUACUGUGAUAAGUGAUUUAAGGUCAACUUUUCUGUAUUUACAGUGUGUGGCUUAAAAUAUAAACACCCUUUGUGCUUUGUUAUUGUGUGCACCACUGAAUGCUUUCACAGAUAGAUGCUGCUAUAAAGGAUGGCUUAGAAAUUCUAAAUGAAAAAGCAGCCAGUGCCACUGGGGAAUAGAGUACUCUACCCAUAAAGGCACAUAGUCUGCUUUGACCAGUUCACAAUAUAAUGCUCUUUAUGAAACAUAUUUAGUGCAAGGCUGAAGUUUAUGUAUCAUAAAAGAAGACCAAAACAAUCUUUCUGUCCUUUUCAGCCUUUGGUGGGGGCUUUGAUCAACUAUUUAAUUAAAAAUGGAGGUGUCUCAAGUUUUGAGUUCUGAUGCAGUUCUGCAUAAAAAUGGAAACAGAGACCUUUCUGGAGAACAAGUUCUCACUUUUCUUUCUGUACAAGAAUGUCACGACAUUUUAAAGCCUAUGGGCACUUUGUUUUCUUCCACUCCUUAAAUAAACAGCACAAUACUUUUUGAACA
This 1897-nucleotide long non-coding RNA is filed under the name Coturnix japonica (Japanese quail). Its description in RNAcentral is "lncRNA (ENSCJPG00005013246.1)". The record is from RNAcentral. Lineage: Eukaryota; Metazoa; Chordata; Aves; Galliformes; Phasianidae.